UGUACAUUGUUAGAGUUUGGAGUUGAGGCCACAGCUGGCUGAUGAACUCACAAGUGUAAGUAUGUGACAUCAGUGGCAUGUUUUUGCUAACACUCCACUCUGGCCAGUAAGUGGAGUUUGAUAGUAAACUGUGCUACAAGU
Molecule: small nucleolar RNA, 141 nt
Organism: Jaculus jaculus (lesser Egyptian jerboa)
Lineage: Eukaryota; Metazoa; Chordata; Mammalia; Rodentia; Dipodidae
Source: Ensembl